This 1243-nucleotide long non-coding RNA is filed under the name Heterocephalus glaber (naked mole-rat). RNAcentral describes it as "lncRNA (ENSHGLG00000038971.1)". The record is from RNAcentral. Lineage: Eukaryota; Metazoa; Chordata; Mammalia; Rodentia; Bathyergidae.
CUAAAAGGGAAUGUUCCUUUUGUAAUGGUUUAAAUUUUCUCAAAGUACUUUAAGAUGGUUUGUAACCCAGCUGGAUGUGAAUUUAUGGUGCCUAAGAAAUACCACUUGAAUAUUAGCAAUGACAGUGUUAAGUUUCAAAAAAGAGCUUCUCAAAGUAGAUUAUUGUUCAUUUAUAGAAUGUUACAUGGUUAAAACCAGAAAGCACAUCACACUUUAGUCUUUAGUCCCAAGUCAACUGAGUCAUAAAACAACUUAAGAGGCUUUUCAUUAAAUGGAAAAAGAAGCUAUGCUCUUUUAGAAUAUGUGAGAAAGUUACCUAAUUAUGUUUGACUAUUAUAAUGGAUUUAAGUGAAAAAUAGUUUGAAAGCAGCUUCAGAGUUGGUGAUUCACAACAAAUCCAAAAGUAUUUUUUAAUUACUGGUGGUAAACAAUGACCUUCUCAGUGUUUUUCAGCAUUGCUGGGGGUUCUGAACCCUCAGCAGAACUGAGGGGCUAAAGACUUGACCUGUCUUUGAUACACCCAAAUAUGCAGAACUAUCAGAUGGAACCUAAAAGAGCACCUCCUUUCUCUUUGGGGGGUGGGGGCGUGGCCAUCCCAAAAGGAGAAUUAACAUGAGUGUUUGAAGAGCUUCAUAAUAAGCAUAGGAAGAGCUCUGAGCAAGCACACACAGGAAAGCCAGCCUUACUUUAGGAUUUGAGGGGUAGACAGGAGGAAAUGAACAAUUUCAUUUUUACUUGUUCUAUCAUUAGUUCCCCCUUUUAAAUACCCUAAAACUACUUCAUCAUGAAAUGAACAACAAUGUGAUACGCUGAUCUGUCCAAAUGCAAGAAUCAUGGUAGCCUUCAGUGAGCUUUUGAUCUUGGUUGGUCACCCCAACAACUGCAGCUGUAGAUGAAUGUGUUUUUAUGUGCCUGGUUUCAGUGUUCAAAGGGAAAAAUAAACAUGUACAGUGAACACUUUAAACCACUUUGGAUGAAAGUUUUGUCAUGUUCCAGACUAUUUUCAAUCAACCUGGUCCACCGAGGAUUAGUGACCAGGUUUUCAGGAAAGGAUUAGUUUCUCUCUAGUAAAUGUCUGAAAGAUUUUAUUUUCUGAUAAAAGGCUGUUUGAAAAUACCCUCCUGAAAUAACUUGCUUAACUACAUAUAGAUUCAAGUGUGUCAAUAUUCUAUUUUGUAUAUUAAACAAAUGCUAUAUAAUGGGGACAAAUUAUAUUAUACUGUGUAUGGCAUUAUUAAGAAGC